GCCAGCAUGGUGUAGUGGUUUGAGUGUUAGACUAUGACUCUGGAGAUUAGGGUUCAAUUCCCACCUUGGCC
RNAcentral lists this transfer RNA (71 nucleotides) under Phrynosoma platyrhinos (Desert horned lizard). Its description in RNAcentral is "tRNA-OTHER". The record is from RNAcentral. Lineage: Eukaryota; Metazoa; Chordata; Lepidosauria; Squamata; Phrynosomatidae.